Molecule: long non-coding RNA, 1137 nt
Organism: Betta splendens (Siamese fighting fish)
Lineage: Eukaryota; Metazoa; Chordata; Actinopteri; Anabantiformes; Osphronemidae
Exons: 2
Source: RefSeq, a predicted model, not a curated record
AUAAACGUACCAGAUUGUCCAAAACGAGCGGCAGAAGCCUUCAAUCCAACCGUCGUCAACACGUCUUCGCGCAUGCGCGCUGCCACUUCUCACAACUGCAAUAGGCAAACAUGGUGGCGGCCGUCGACAGUUUUGUGACAGUCUUGUCGGUGGGAACUGCUCUAAUGGUUCGGGGGAGUUCACGUUGAGCACAUGCCACUUCUCUGGGAUCAGUCCUUUUUCCAAGAGGAUCGAAGCCAGGUAGGAAAAUAAUAAAGUCGCACAGAAGGUGGCCAACGUGCAGAUAGUCACGACAGGCGCCCGCUGGACGUACACGCCGUCCUCCAGAGUGCAGCCUGGCAUGCAGAGAAGAACCGGCAGACCCAAACCCGGCUCACCGCUCAGCACUCUCAACAGCACCCCGACGAGCAGGCCCAUGAUGGAACCGUAGCCGUUGGAGAUCUUAAAGAACAGGACGCAGACCAGUUGAGGGAACAUGAUGGUGUAGGUGAUGCCUGAGCCCAGGAUCCAAAAAAACAUGAUGCUGCUGUGCAGAAAGGUGAGCGACGUGCCGACUACGCCCACUAACACCACGGUCACGUAGAUCACCCACUGCAGCUCCCGUUCACUCGCCUGUAGGAGAAAACGACAUUCCAAAUAAACACAAGGCAAGAGAGAGACGCAGAACGUGCCUAGAUCUUGUCUUCACCUUAGUCCUCAGGAUAUUCUUAUAGAUGUUGGACGUGAAGAUGGAGGCGGCUGACAGCAAAGAAGAGUCUAUCGAUGACAUCACGGCGGCAGCUAUUGCCCCGAUGCCAAUAAUGGAGAUGUAGCUGGGGGUGAGGUGCUGUAGAGCGAUGGGCAGCACCUGACCGGUUUCACCUCGCUCAUAUGGUGAAGGGGAGCCGUAUGUCGUCAUGUUCCAGUCUGACGCGAAAAAUAAACCCAUCAACCACACAUUUUUACCAAUGACAUCGUUCCAAAGCUUCCUGUCUAACUGCACCUGUUGAUGCUGCGACUGCUCCAAUUAGAAUAGAUGGGAUUCCAAGUAUGAAGAUGAGGGGAGCUGCGAUGAAGCAGGUGAUCCUGGCUGUGUGCGAUGAAGCAGCUGACAGCGUCCUCUGGUGGAAGUCUUGAUAUCCCAGGUCCCCUAAAGUC